RNAcentral lists this ribosomal RNA (670 nucleotides) under Peribacillus frigoritolerans. RNAcentral's name for it is "bacterial SSU rRNA". It matches the Rfam family "Bacterial small subunit ribosomal RNA", at positions 70 to 713 of the family's 1533-position model. Lineage: Bacteria; Bacillati; Bacillota; Bacilli; Caryophanales; Bacillaceae. The record is from RNAcentral.
GACGGGAGCUAUGCUCCCUGAGAUUAGCGGCGGACGGGUGAGUAACACGUGGGCAACCUGCCUAUAAGACUGGGAUAACUUCGGGAAACCGGAGCUAAUACCGGAUACGUUCUUUUCUCGCAUGAGAGAAGAUGGAAAGACGGUUUACGCUGUCACUUAUAGAUGGGCCCGCGGCGCAUUAGCUAGUUGGUGAGGUAAUGGCUCACCAAGGCGACGAUGCGUAGCCGACCUGAGAGGGUGAUCGGCCACACUGGGACUGAGACACGGCCCAGACUCCUACGGGAGGCAGCAGUAGGGAAUCUUCCGCAAUGGACGAAAGUCUGACGGAGCAACGCCGCGUGAACGAAGAAGGCCUUCGGGUCGUAAAGUUCUGUUGUUAGGGAAGAACAAGUACCAGAGUAACUGCUGGUACCUUGACGGUACCUAACCAGAAAGCCACGGCUAACUACGUGCCAGCAGCCGCGGUAAUACGUAGGUGGCAAGCGUUGUCCGGAAUUAUUGGGCGUAAAGCGCGCGCAGGUGGUUUCCUUAAAGUCUUGAAUGUGAAAGCCCACGGCUCAACCCGUGGAAGGGGUCAUUGGAAACUGGGGGAACUUGAGUGCAGAAGAAGGAAAAGUGGGAAAUUCCAAGUGUAGCGGGUGAAAUGCGUAGAGAUUUGGAGGACACCAGU